CUUUACGGCCACACCGCCUUGGUUCCCCCGAUCUCGUUUGAUCUCGGAAGCUAAGAUAGGGUGGGCCUGGUUAGUACUUGGAUGGGAGACCGCCUGGGAAUACCAGGUGUUGUAAGAU
Molecule: ribosomal RNA, 118 nt
Filed under: Scophthalmus maximus (turbot)
Lineage: Eukaryota; Metazoa; Chordata; Actinopteri; Pleuronectiformes; Scophthalmidae
Source: RNAcentral